GACGAACGCUGGCGGCGUGCCUAAUACAUGCAAGUCGAACGCAGUGGGGACGGGUGAGUAACACGUGGGUAACAUCCCAUCAGAGGGGAUAACACUUGGAAACAGGUGCUAAACCGAAACGGAUGGAUGGACCCGCGGUGAAUUAGCUAGUUGGUGAGGUAACGGCUCACCAAGGCCACGAUGAAUAGCUGACCUGAGAGGAUGAUCAGCCACACUGGAACUGAGACACGGUCCAGACUCCUACGGGAGGCAGCAGUGGGGAAUAUUGGACAAUGGGCGAAAGCCUGAUCCAGCCAUGCCGCGUGUGUGAAGAAGGUCUUCGGAUUGUAAAGCACUUUAAGUUGGGAGGCGUUACCCGCAGAAGAAGCACCGGCUAACUCCGUGCCAGCAGCCGCGGUAAUAC
Molecule: ribosomal RNA, 403 nt
Filed under: uncultured bacterium
Lineage: Bacteria
Description: partial 16S ribosomal RNA
Rfam family: Bacterial small subunit ribosomal RNA
Source: RNAcentral